This 482-nucleotide ribosomal RNA is filed under the name uncultured bacterium. RNAcentral's name for it is "partial 16S ribosomal RNA". It matches the Rfam family "Bacterial small subunit ribosomal RNA", at positions 30 to 507 of the family's 1533-position model. The record is from RNAcentral.
AUUGAACGCUGGCGGCAGGCCUAACACAUGCAAGUCGAGCGGAUGAAGGGAGCUUGCUCCUGGAUUCAGCGGCGGACGGGUGAGUAAUGCCUAGGAAUCUGCCUGGUAGUGGGGGAUAACGUCCGGAAACGGGCGCUAAUACCGCAUACGUCCUGAGGGAGAAAGUGGGGGAUCUUCGGACCUCACGCUAUCAGAUGAGCCUAGGUCGGAUUAGCUAGUUGGUGGGGUAAAGGCCUACCAAGGCGACGAUCCAUAACUGGUCUGAGAGGAUGAUCAGUCACUCUGACUGUGAGACGCUCCCCAGACUUCCGCGAGGCGCCACUGUGGAGUAUUGUGGACUGUGGGCAAACGUCAGCUACCCACGCGGCGCGUGUGAAGAAGGUCUUCGGAUUGUAAAGCACUUUAAGUUGGGAGGAAGGGCAGUAAGUUAAUACCUUGCUGUUUUGACGUUACCAACAGAAUAAGCACCGGCUAACUUCGUG